GACGAACGCUGGCGGCGUGCUUAACACAUGCAAGUCGAACGGUGAAGCGCCUUCCUUUUUGGUGGGUGUGGAUGAGUGGCGAACGGGUGAGUAACACGUGAGUAACCUGCCCCCUUCUUCUGGAUAACCGCAUGAAAGUGUGGCUAAUACGGGAUAUUCUGGGUCUGUCGCAUGAUGGGUCUGGGAAAGAUAUUGUUUCGGUGGGGGAUGGGCUCGCGGCCUAUCAGCUUGUUGGUGGGGUGAUGGCCUACCAAGGCGGUGACGGGUAGCCGGCCUGAGAGGGUGGACGGUCACACUGGGACUGAGACACGGCCCAGACUCCUACGGGAGGCAGCAGUGGGGAAUAUUGCACAAUGGGCGCAAGCCUGAUGCAGCGACGCCGCGGGAGGGAUGGAGGCCUUCGGGUUGUGAACCUCUUUCGCCAGUGAAGCAGGCCUGCCUCGUUUGUGGAUGGGUUGACGGUAGCUGGAUAAGAAGCGCCGGCUAACUACGUG
This 494-nucleotide ribosomal RNA is filed under the name uncultured bacterium. Its description in RNAcentral is "partial 16S ribosomal RNA". It matches the Rfam family "Bacterial small subunit ribosomal RNA", at positions 28 to 507 of the family's 1533-position model. The record is from RNAcentral.